This 528-nucleotide ribosomal RNA is filed under the name uncultured bacterium. RNAcentral describes it as "partial 16S ribosomal RNA". It matches the Rfam family "Bacterial small subunit ribosomal RNA", at positions 355 to 874 of the family's 1533-position model. The record is from RNAcentral.
UGGGGAAUUUUGGACAAUGGGCGCAAGCCUGAUCCAGCCAUGCCGCGUGCGGGAAGAAGGCCUUCGGGUUGUAAACCGCUUUUGUCAGGGAAGAAAUCUUCUGAGUUAAUACCUCGGGAGGAUGACGGUACCUGAAGAAUAAGCACCGGCUAACUACGUGCCAGCAGCCGCGGUAAUACGUAGGGUGCAAGCGUUAAUCGGAAUUACUGGGCGUAAAGCGUGCGCAGGCGGUUUUGUAAGACAGAGGUGAAAUCCCCGGGCUCAACCUGGGAACUGCCUUUGUGACUGCAAGGCUUGAGUGCGGCAGAGGGGGGAUGGAAUUCCGCGUGUAGCAGUGAAAUGCGUAGAUAUGCGGAGGAACACCGAUGGCGAAGGCAAUCCCCUGGGCCUGCACUGACGCUCAUGCACGAAAGCGUGGGGAGCAAACAGGAUUAGAUAGCCCUGGUAGUCCACGCCCUAAACGAUGUCGACUGGUUGUUGGGAAGGUUCCUUCUCAGUAACGUAGCUAACGCGUGAAGUUGACCGCCU